GAAUCAGAAAUCCCUGUGGCGAUGGCUGGAGCGGAUAGUGGUUGGAGUUGGGUCAUCGCAGUUGCCUGCUGUUGGAUAACUUUCGUUAUCCAAGGACUGGUCAGGUCCGGUGGGGUUGUCUACGUCGCCCUCAUCGAUGCCUAUGGGGUCAGCAGAUCUCAAGCUUCGUGGCCUUUCACCUUAAGAUUGGCUCUCUGGAAUCUGAGUGGUCCGUUAGCCGGCUCUUUGAGUUACAAAUGGAGUAUCCGUUCCAUCACUUUGUUCGGGGUGAUGCUGGUAACUGUGACCAAUGUCAUCUGCUGGUUCAUAUCCGAUAUGGUCCUGGUCACUUUUUUCCUCGGUGGAUUGCAAGGUUUGGGUGUGGGUCUUGCGGUGACCUUAGUUCCAGUGAUGAUCAACCAGUACUUCGUGAAGUACAAGACUACGGGGGCCGGCAUUGCAUGCGCGGGAGCAACUGUGGGCUCCUUCGCUUUGCCUCCCCUGGUCGAGUUCACCAUCGAAGAGUACGGAUUGAAGGGGGCAUUCCUCAUGAUGGCUGGAAUAACUUUGCAUGGAUUGCUAGGCGCCUCGCUUCUGCGUCCAGCAGAAUGGCUCAACAAAAAAACAGUUGUCAGCAGCAAUGGAAAGAAUAUGAUUCAAGAGGAAAAGAAAGGUGACCAGAAUCUCAAUUUCGUAACAACCAAAUCAAAGAAUAUUCCGGAUGUGGAAGAAAUUAAAACUCUACUGAAUGGUGAGGAUAAAGAAAGGACUACGAAAUCAAUCAAGGCAGUUAGAUUCUCUUGCAGUGAGGAUCAAAACAAUGAAAGGAACUUUGAAAACGAAGAAAGUAAUCUAAUAGAUAAUUCUGAAAAUGUAGAGAUCGUGCGAAGUAAUAAUCAGCCAAUGACUUCACAAACAAUGAUUAUUAAUCCGAAUUAUACUAUAAACGGACAGAGUGAAUCCACAUCGGAUCCAAAUGGAACCAAAUAUAUUCCCUCAGAACAGCCAACGGAAGACAUCAUGUCAGAUGGGGAAGAACCUCAUCAUUAUGGAAAACUUCAAUUUAUAGAUAAUAAAGCGGAAUACGACCCCCAAAUCAAUUUACACACUAUUUAUGUACCUACCACCUCCAGCUCACAUGUAUCUCAGGGAUCAUCGCAUACUAUCCUCAAACCUAUCAACAUUUCUAAUGGCCACAUCCAUUUGCCACAUGAAGUCAAAAGAAAAUGGUUGACAGGUCUCAUGGAACCAGCCAAAGCUGCCUACGAAAUAGUCAAGAAUCCGAUGUUUUUGAUCAUAGCAAGCAACUACUCAAUAUUUUUUCUGUCUUAUAUGACCUACCUCACAGUCAUUGUAGAUUAUACUCUGGAUUUAGGAAUAGACCGUACUGAUUGUGUCUUUCUUGUGUCCACUUUCUCAAUUGCUGAUCUUGCCGGACGUCUAGGGUCCGGUUGGAUCACGGAUAGUGGCACAGUGAAGAGGAAACACUUAAUGAUGGUGAACAUGGUGACUUUCGGGUCACUUCUUGCAGCCACUUCCUUAACAGACACAUAUAUAGCUAUAACUGCACUUUCUGUGAGCUCAGGACUUAUUGUUGGUAUCAAUCUUAUCCUGUUUUACGCCCUUCUGGAAGAAUAUUUGGGUCUUAGCAAGCUUCCAAUGGCUAUUGGAUUGAUGAAUUUUUCUAUUGGAGUAGUUUCUCUUGUUACACCUUUACUGACAGGUUACUUUCGGGAUACUAUGGGCAGCUAUGACCAUUUAUUCCAUUUGCUCGGUGGCGUAUGUAUUUUCUGUGGUCUUCUAUGGGCUUUUGAACCCCUAAUUGUGCGUAACAAAGAAAAGAAUGGCAUCAAAAAAGGCCUUCCAGCUUAACUGUCAAGUAAGGAAUUCCAGCAGCUUCAGAGGACAGCAAUCUACAGACGCACAGUCUUGUGAAGUGCAUUUUUGUUAUUUUUGUCAAAACGUUUCACCUUGGACCAACAGCACGUAAAACUUGCAUUAUGGUUUUCCUUUGCAUUUUUUUUUUAUAUAUCUGUGAUAAGCAAGUAUUUCUUGAAAGCCAUCUCAACGACAUAAAAUGAUUGGAAUAUUUAUAUUGCGUAAAAAGAACUUCACCGUUCUGUUAGAAAUAACAGAACGCUUUAUUGUGUCAUGUGUCUGUGAUAUUCAAGCUUGAUAGGAGAGUAUGGAAAAUCAAUUUAAGGGGCAUUGUUUUCAAAACUUUGCGAAAUUCUACUACGGUAAAGAAAUUUCACUCAACUGAUUCUUCUCCGCUUUUUAUGUAAAGUGUAAAAUCUAAAAAAUAUACCUAAAUCCUAGUAGCACACAUUUACUGUACAAUAUUAAACGAUAUUCGCAAUAUUAUAUAAUAUUCUUGAAUGCUGAUUAAUAUAAUAUGAUAUCGCACAAUAUUGUGCAAACAAUAAUAUACAAUAAUGUGCGAACAAUAUUGUGCAGCAUUUUAUAUUACUUACAAAACUAUCUACCUACGCAUGUACAAGUUAUAAAUACUUAGAAAGUAAAUUCAGAUGGAUCAAACAAUGGACUAAGUAUAAACUUUGCUUUAAAAUAACAGUGUUUCUGCAGAAUUUCUUUAGACUUUUUUCUGCACUUGUUAUGUUUCUUAUUCUGAUUAUAAACUUAUUUCUACAAGCAAGCUGAGAUUGCCUUUUUUCGUUUAUUUAAAUAAAGGCAGCAGUAAUAAAUUACAGGUGCAGAUAUGAAUUCAGUCUUCAGAAUCGAAGGGUUGCGAGUCCAAGACUGGAUUUCAACAAAUCUAACAAAUUCACAUGUCCCGCCCCCUUUCGUGGAAUGGAGAAGAAUCUAUUAAGGCAUUGGAUCUUCCAUUCCUGGAAGAUCCAAUUGAAUCUAGACUUUUUCAAGACGCCUCUUGUAAAACACCUACAAGCAUUUUUGGCAAAAUGUGUCAAUUAUUUUCUAUAAGUUAGACAAAUAAAUCAAUGAAGCAAAUUUUCGAUCCCAUAAAAACAUGUUGAAUAAGUUUUGAUGCAUGCAUGGUGUCCUAUAAUUCUUGAACACAUUGCAAAAUUAUAUAAAAUAAUAUUCGGAAAUAAUUGCGUUUUUUCGAUGCUAUAUAUUACUGACACAACUCAUAAAAUAUUUCGUAACAAUCGUUUCGUCAGAAUGCAAUAGAUGGCGCUAUGUACGACUUCACUUAAAAUCGUGCGAUUUUAAAAAUUCAACUCCUUUUUCAUGUGAUAGUUUUUCAAAGAUAGUUCUUAAAACAUCAUCGUAACUGGCAUCCUAAUGGACUUUUCGUCAAAAUUCCUAUAAAUUCAGAAGUUUUCAAUUUUGUCGCUCGUUGAUCAUUGAUCCGGCAUCUAGAAAACUGUCUUCUUUAUAAGGAAUAGCCAAUUACGUGCUUUAGGGCAGAAAAUAUUUUUCCCCCGUCUUCAGCAAAAACAAAUAAAUUUCUUGGCUGUCCAACUCAUGAGCAUACAACUGGUCAUAUGAAAAACAUGGAUUUUCUAAGUCCAAUCUGCACUUUUGAAGUGAUUGACCUUGUGCCUUGCUGAUAGUCAUCGAGAAUGCAAGUUGAAUGGUGUGCUGCAGUCGUCUGACAUUAAAAGACAUGUUGGCGGGAAAGCAUGGGAUGAACACAUCUUCUCCAUUAAGAAUAGUUGCCUCAAUUAUUGCUGCAUAUUCAUCUUGAGAUUCUAAAGUAUGCAAUUCAUAAAUGAUCCGAUUCAUUGCUCACUUGUUGUUCCUUGUUAAUUUGAGAAACUCGAAUUUGCUUAUUUCUAUGUGCUGCCCUGGUAGAUCUACUAAGUGACAAAUGUUUAGAUGAAGCAAUUAACACGAUAUAUACUUGUAUAAUCAAAAUAUUGUUUGUUGAUUCACUGAGUAAAUGGAAAAAUAACUGUUCGCACUGGAAAAUUUCCCUUAUAUAUAACUUACCUUGAUUGGCAUUGAUAAUAAUUCUAUUUUGAAUGUUUAAAGAUAAACUCUAAAUAACAUGUGCGGUUUGGCAUAGCCAAAAUAUUGUGCACGCUGAAUGACAAUAUAUUGUGUAGAUGCUUAAUGAAAAGAAAGAAAUGAGCUCUUGCAGUAAAUAUUUUCGCUUUC
Argiope bruennichi is the source of this 4065-nucleotide RNA transcript. It is a transcript of the gene named monocarboxylate transporter 13-like, with no coding region annotated. The record is from RefSeq and is a predicted model, not a curated record. The transcript is spliced from 6 exons. Lineage: Eukaryota; Metazoa; Arthropoda; Arachnida; Araneae; Araneidae.